Molecule: unclassified non-coding RNA, 546 nt
Filed under: Hevea brasiliensis (rubber tree)
Lineage: Eukaryota; Viridiplantae; Streptophyta; Magnoliopsida; Malpighiales; Euphorbiaceae
Source: RNAcentral
UCUCCAUUUGAAUUACUGCAGCAGCUUAUCUCCAUUUGAAUAAGGGCAGCCCCCACCAUCCCCAUCUCCAUCUCCAUCGUCCAUAUUGUUUUAUUAAUUCAUCGUGGUUGGGCCAUAUUUUGAGAACUGAGAGUAGGCAUAUCUAGUCCAAGGCCCUAGACUUGGACAUUUGAGCAGCAUCAGCAGGAGUUAAACCCAUUCUUAAUUUCUCAUCGAGGAACAGGUUACAGUUCCUAUCCUGCUUGCAAAUUUAACUUCAGUGACGGACUGAUAGGUGAUUUCUCUUUGCUAUUUGCCUAUUUGUUAUCAAUUCCAUACUUCAAGAACAGAGAUUGAUUACAAAUUUGACAUUCUUAAGAUUAGAACCAAUUAGGCGCCUCAGAAUUGCAGAAUGGCAGCAAGGCUUUCAAAGCCAUUCAGAUGGUAAUUUGGUGUAAUCAGAUAUCAUCAUCGGCAACAUUUUUAUAACCAACUAAACCAAAAAAACUCACUUACAAAUUAAUAAAAUUACAUUAAAAUAAGUAAAUGUAUGACUCAUGGCCAGUC